This 332-nucleotide ribosomal RNA is filed under the name uncultured bacterium. Its description in RNAcentral is "bacterial SSU rRNA". It matches the Rfam family "Bacterial small subunit ribosomal RNA", at positions 108 to 422 of the family's 1533-position model. The record is from RNAcentral.
GAGUAACACGUAAACAACCUGCCUUCAGGAUGGGGACAACAGACGGAAACGACUGCUAAUACCGAAUACGCUUGGGAGACCGCAUGAUCUUCCAAGGAAAGGGUGGCCUCUACCUGUAAGCUAUCGCCUGAAGAGGGGUUUGCGUCUGAUUAGGCAGUUGGUGAGGUAACGGCCCACCAAACCCUACGAUCAGUAGCCGGUCUGAGAGGAUGAACGGCCACACUGGAACUGAAACACGGUCCAGACUCCUACGGGAGGCAGCAGUGGGGAAUCUUCCGCAAUGGGCGAAAGCCUGACGGAGCAACGCCGCGUGAGUGAUGACGGCCUUCGGG